ACGUACCAAAGUACGUUCCGGUUUCUGUGCUCCGGCCGCCCCUCGCUGACGGUCGCUCGCUACGCCAGUCAGAA
RNAcentral lists this small RNA (74 nucleotides) under Rhodoferax sp. Its description in RNAcentral is "sX9 sRNA". It matches the Rfam family "Xanthomonas sRNA sX9". The record is from RNAcentral. Lineage: Bacteria; Pseudomonadati; Pseudomonadota; Betaproteobacteria; Burkholderiales; Comamonadaceae.